AUUGAACGCUGGCGGCAGGCCUAACACAUGCAAGUCGAACGGUAACAGGAAGCAGCUUGCUGCUUUGCUGACGAGUGGCGGACGGGUGAGUAAUGUCUGGGAAACUGCCUGAUGGAGGGGGAUAACUACUGGAAACGGUAGCUAAUACCGCAUAACGUCGCAAGACCAAAGAGGGGGACCUUCGGGCCUCUUGCCAUCGGAUGUGCCCAGAUGGGAUUAGCUAGUAGGUGGGGUAACGGCUCACCUAGGCGACGAUCCCUAGCUGGUCUGAGAGGAUGACCAGCCACACUGGAACUGAGACACGGUCCAGACUCCUACGGGAGGCAGCAGUGGGGAAUAUUGCACAAUGGGCGCAAGCCUGAUGCAGCCAUGCCGCGUGUAUGAAGAAGGCCUUCGGGUUGUAAAGUACUUUCAGCGGGGAGGAAGGGAGUAAAGUUAAUACCUUCGCUCAUUGACGUUACCCGCAGAAGAAGCACCGGCUAACUCCGUG
RNAcentral lists this ribosomal RNA (490 nucleotides) under uncultured bacterium. Its description in RNAcentral is "partial 16S ribosomal RNA". It matches the Rfam family "Bacterial small subunit ribosomal RNA", at positions 30 to 507 of the family's 1533-position model. The record is from RNAcentral.